Long non-coding RNA from Bombina bombina (fire-bellied toad), 3334 nucleotides. RefSeq lists it as uncharacterized. The transcript is spliced from 9 exons. Lineage: Eukaryota; Metazoa; Chordata; Amphibia; Anura; Bombinatoridae. The record is from RefSeq and is a predicted model, not a curated record.
AGGUAGGUACUGGAAAGUGCAGCAGGCGGAGAGCAGGAUCCCAAAACCACCGCCAUGUUUCUCACCUGGCUUCCGGGUAUGGCUAAAGUGAAGACCACCAUGUGUGAGAGCAGCAGUGGAAACAGUGUCAGAAGGAGAUAGCCAGGUUUUGGUAAUCGCUAAAAGGGUGAAAGCAUUUGAUAUCAACAGGUCAUGAAUGGUUGUGAGUUUGUUGCAGACAGAACGAGAGUUCCAUAGUGCGCUGGUUAAAGGAGUGUGUGCGUAUGGGAUGCAUUGGAUGGAAAUAAGGUUAUGUGUGUUGCUUUUAUUAAAGUUUCCAUAAGGAGUGCGUGAUUGGGUAAUGGUGGGAAUGAGGGUGGACCCAGGAUUUGGAGAGAUAUCGCCUGAUGCUAAUAGCAGCAAGAUGGAAAGUAAGAGUAGGUGAGAAUGAGAUUUAUAGCAGUGGGGGCAUUUCUGUGAGGUGGUGCAGUUUAGUGACAUAGAUUUUAAAAUAGAAAGUAGUUCAUGAGAGCUAAGGUAAGGAGAGGAAAGGAGAGAGGGGCCAAUAUGAACUGCUUGUGGAGAAGGGUAAAGUAUGAGCAUGUGAGCUAAGGUAAGGAGAGGAAAGGAGAGAGGGGCCGAUAUAAACUGCAUGUGGAGAAGGAUAAGGUAUGAGCAUGUGAGCUAAGGUAAGGAGAGAGGGGCCGAUAUAAACUGCAUGUGAGAAGGGUAAGGUAUGAGCAUGUGAGCUAAGGUAAGGAGAGAGGGGCCGAUAUAAACUGCAUGUGAGAAGGGUAAGGUAUGAGCAUGUGAGCUAAGGUAAGGAGAGAGGGGCCGAUAUAAACUGCAUGUGAGAAGGGUAAGGUAUGAGCAUGUGAGCUAAGGUAAGGAGAGAGGGGCCGAUAUAAACUGCAUGUGAGAAGGGUAAGGUAUGAGCAUGUGAGCUAAGGUAAGGAGAGUGGGGCCGAUAUAAACUGCAUGUGAGAAGGGUAAGGUAUGAGCAUGUGAGCUAAGGUAAGGAGAGAGGGGCCGAUAUAAACUGCAUGUGAGAAGGGUAAGGUAUGAGCAUGUGAGCUAAGGUAAGGAGAGGAGAGAGGGGCCGAUAUAAACUGCAUGAGGAGAAGGGUAAGGUAUGAGCAUGUGAGCUAAGGUAAGGAGAGAGGGGCCGAUAUAAACUGCAUGUGAGAAGGGUAAGGUAUGAGCAUGUGAGCUAAGGUAAGGAGAGAGGGGCCGAUAUAAACUGCAUGUGAGAAGGGUAAGGUAUGAGCAUGUGAGCUAAGGUAAGGAGAGAGGGGCCGAUAUAAGCUGCAUGUGAGAAGGGUAAGGUAUGAGCAUGUGAGCUAAGGUAAGGAGAGAGGGGCCGAUAUAAACUGCAUGUGAGAAGGGUUAGGUAUGAGCAUGUGAGCUAAGGUAAGGUGAGAGGGGCCGAUAUAAACUGCUUGUGGAGAAGGGUAAGGUAUGAGCAUGUGAGCUAAGGUAAGGAGAGAGGGGCCGAUAUAAACUGCUUGUGGAGAAGGGUAAGGUAUGAGCAUGUGAGCUAAGGUAAGGAGAGUAGAGAGGGGCCAAUAUAAACUGCUUGUGGAGAAGGGUAAGGUAUGAGCAUGUGUGCUAAGGUAAGGAGAGAGGGGCCGAUAUAAACUGUGUGUGGAGAAGGGUAAGGUAUGAGCAUGUGAGCUAAGGUAAGGAGAGUAGAGAGGGGCCAAUAUAAACUGCUUGUGGAUAAGGGGUAAAGUAUGAGCAUGUGAGCUAAGGUAAGGAGAGUAGAGAGGGGCCGAUAUAAACUGCUUGUGGAGAAGGGUAAGGUAUGAGCAUGUGAGCUAAGGUAAGGAGAGAGGGGCCGAUAUAAACUGCAUGUGGAGAAGGGUAAGGUGUGAGCAUGUGAGCUAAGGUAAGGAGAGGAAAGGAGAGAGGGGCCGAUAUAAACUGCUUGUGGAUAAGGGAUAAAGUAUGAGCAUGUGAGCUAAGGUAAGGAGAGAGGGGCCGAUAUAAACUGCUUGUGGAGAAGGGUAAGGUAUGAGCAUGUGAGCUAAGGUAAGGAGAGAGGGGCCGAUAUAAACUGCUUGUGGAGAAGUGUAAGGUAUGAGCAUGUGAGCUAAGGUAAGGAGAGAGGGGCCGAUAUAAACUGCAUGUGGAGAAGGGUAAGGUAUGAGCAUGUGAGCUAAGGUAAGGAGAGAGGGGCCGAUAUAAACUGCAUGUGGAGAAGGGUAAGCUAUGAGCAUGUGAGCUAAGGUAAGGAGAGAGGGGCCGAUAUAAACUGUGUGUGAGAAGGGUAAGGUAUGAGCAUGUGAGCUAAGGUAAACAGAGGAGAGAGGGGCCGAUAUAAACUGCUUGUGGAGAAGGGUAAGGUAUGAGCAUGUGAGCUAAAGUAAGGAGAGAGGGGCCGAUAUAAACUGCUUGUGGAGAAGGGUAAGGUAUGAGCAUGUGACCUAAGGUAAGGAGAGAGGGGCCGAUAUAAACUGCUUGUGGAGAAGGGUAAGGUAUGAGCAUGUGAGCUAAGGUAAGGAGAGAGGGGCCGAUAUAAACUGCUUGUGGAGAAGGGUAAGGUAUGAGCAUGUGUGCUAAGGUAAGGAGAGAGGGGCCGAUAUAAACUGCUUGUGGAGAAGGGUAAGGUAUGAGCAUGUGAGCUAAGGUAAGGAGAGGAGAGAGGGGCCGAUAUAAACUGCUUGUGGAGAAGGGUAAGGUAUGAGCAUGUGAGCUAAGGUAAGGAGAGGAGAGAGGGGCCGAUAUAAACUGCAUGUGAGAAGGGUAAGGUAUGAGCAUGUGAGCUAAGGUAAGGAGAGAGGGGCCGAUAUAAACUGCAUGAGGAGAAGGGUAAGGUAUGAGCAUGUGAGCUAAGGUAAGGAGAGAGGGGCCGAUAUAAACUGCAUGAGGAGAAGGGUAAGGUAUGAGCAUGUGAGCUAAGGUAAGGAGAGAGGGGCCGAUAUAAACUGCAUGUGAGAAGGGUAAGGUAUGAGCAUGUGAGCUAAGGUAAGGAGAGAGGGGCUGAUAUAAGCUGCAUGUGAGAAGGGUAAGGUAUGAGCAUGUGAGCUAAGGUAAGGAGAGAGGGGCCGAUAUAAACUGCAUGUGAGAAGGGUAAGGUAUGAGCAUGUGAGCUAAGGUAAGGAGAGAGGGGCCGAUAUAAACUGCUUGUGGAGAAGGGUAAGGUAUGAGCAUGUGAGCUAAGGUAAGGAGAGAGGGGCCGAUAUAAACUGCUUGUGGAGAAGGGUAAGGUAUGAGCAUGUGAGCUAAGGUAAGGAGAGAGGGGCCGAUAUAAACUGCAUGUGAGAAGGGUAAGGUAUGAGCAUGUGAGCUAAGGUAAGGAGAGAGGGGCCGAUAUAAACUGCAUGUGAGAAGGGUAAGGUAUGAGCAUGUGAGC